Molecule: long non-coding RNA, 303 nt
Organism: Manduca sexta (tobacco hornworm)
Lineage: Eukaryota; Metazoa; Arthropoda; Insecta; Lepidoptera; Sphingidae
Exons: 2
Source: RefSeq, a predicted model, not a curated record
UGGGUGAACGCGGCUCGGUGGGAGUGAGCGGCGCGCUCGCCAUGAAGCACCUCGCGCCCAGCUCCGCGCCUACGGGCGGCGCGCUCGCUACACGCCCGCCGCAUCAGUUCUCCGGUUUCAAGAAACUGAUGCUCGGCGUGUACGCUCCGAUAGUGUUGCUGAUCAUCGUCGCCAUGAUCUACAUUGUUGCGCGCGCGCCCUCGGGGAAUCCUACACAUCCAUACUCGGAGCGUAACGACGAUAUUCCAGACUUUAAGUACUAAAAUCACCAAUACUGAUUCAGUACUAUUGAUGACUGCAAAA